Molecule: transfer RNA, 87 nt
Filed under: Actinomycetota bacterium
Lineage: Bacteria; Bacillati; Actinomycetota
Description: tRNA-Ser
Rfam family: tRNA
About the family: Transfer RNA (tRNA) molecules are approximately 80 nucleotides in length. Their secondary structure includes four short double-helical elements and three loops (D, anti-codon, and T loops). Further hydrogen bonds mediate the characteristic L-shaped molecular structure. tRNAs have two regions of fundamental functional importance: the anti-codon, which is responsible for specific mRNA codon recognition, and the 3' end, to which the tRNAs corresponding amino acid is attached (by aminoacyl-tRNA synthetases). tRNAs cope with the degeneracy of the genetic code in two manners: having more than one tRNA (with a specific anti-codon) for a particular amino acid; and 'wobble' base-pairing, i.e. permitting non-standard base-pairing at the 3rd anti-codon position.
Source: RNAcentral
GGAGGGGUGGCAGAGUGGUCGAAUGCACCGGUCUUGAAAACCGGAGUCCGUUGACGCGGACCGCGGGUUCGAAUCCCGCCCCCUCCG